RNAcentral lists this ribosomal RNA (500 nucleotides) under uncultured Desulfobulbus sp. RNAcentral's name for it is "bacterial SSU rRNA". It matches the Rfam family "Bacterial small subunit ribosomal RNA", at positions 884 to 1382 of the family's 1533-position model. The record is from RNAcentral. Lineage: Bacteria; Pseudomonadati; Thermodesulfobacteriota; Desulfobulbia; Desulfobulbales; Desulfobulbaceae.
CCAGCCCGCUCAGAAACUCAAAUGAAUGACGGGGCCGCACAAGCGGUGGAGUAUGUGGUUAAUUCGAUGCAACGCGAAGAACCUUACCUGGUCUUGACAUCCCGGAGACCCUUAGGAAACUAGGGGGUGCUUCCAUCUGGAAGAAUCUGGAGACAGGUGCUGCAUGGCUGUCGUCAGCUCGUGUCGUGAGAUGUUGGGUUAAGUCCCGCAACGAGCGCAACCCUUGCCUUUAGUUGCCAGCAGUUCGGCUGGGCACUCUAAAGGGACUGCCGGUGUUAAACCGGAGGAAGGUGGGGAUGACGUCAAGUCCUCAUGGCCUUUAUGACCAGGGCUACACACGUACUACAAUGGCCGAUACAAAGGGCAGCGACACUGCGAGGUGAAGCCAAUCCCGUAAAAUCGGUCUCAGUCCGGAUUGGAGUCUGCAACUCGACUCCAUGAAGUUGGAAUCGCUAGUAAUCGUGGAUCAGCAUGCCACGGUGAAUACGUUCCCGGGCCUU